CAAAAAACAAAUCAAAAUUUUAUUAAAUCAAACCGAAAAAACACACUUUUUUCACAAAGUUAUUAGAAAUUAUAUAGAUCUUACUCUUAAGCUCACACUACUUAAGUAGCCUAAAUAAGAAAAUCAAACUACAAAAAUGGAAGUCAUCAAGCCCUAUGAUAUCUUCCUUCCUAGUUCACACCACUUCAACUGCAUUACGACAUAAACUCGGAAUAUUUCCCAGUAAAUCAACAGUAAGCAUCGAUGCCUUGGGCCGCGAUAAUCGAUUCGAAUAACAAUGUUCUUCAGCUGACAAUGGAGAUUUAGAAGUAGUACUCAUACGUUCACAUGUUUUAAGCCACUUAGCUUGCACGUAUUUUUGUUUCCUCCAUGGCGCAAUAUGCAUUUUCUUAUCCUUCAUACACUUCUUAGCACCAUUGCACAAAAUCUUUAUUACUGACAAUAAUCUCUCUAUUUUCCCUACAAACACUUCUGGUAGGCAUUUCACUAGUCGAUUGUAUUCUUCACUUGCUUUCGCUAAUUCAAACUCCCCUCGAAAAUUUAAUUCGAUAAUUAUCCUUACUUCUCCCUUCAUGGUGCUCGAAUUGUCUAUCACGUCUAUAAAUGUAUGUUCACCUGAGGGAAUAUCUGGUGAACUCUUCCACUUUGACUUGCAAAUUGCUGAGUUGAAACCAGCAUUUUGUAGGCUAGUGCACACCUCCUUCAUCAGACAAUUUGGACAACUAGUAGUAAUACUAAUAUUAUUCACCAUUUUACAGCUGCAAUUUUUUGAUGCUUCUUUUAAGGUUUGUUUGGUAAUGCUUCGGAUUUGUGAUUCUAAUGUUGUCGUCCGGCAUAAUACUGAUUGUAAAAGCUGACGUUGAGUUUCCCAAAAUUGAUUAUAUUCAACAUUUUCUUUCUCUUCAUUUUCAUCUUCAACAUAAACAUCAUCAGUAACACUUUCUGUUGACGAACCCUCCUCAUCAAGAAAACUAAAAAUAGUAUCAGAAAUAUUUAUGGCAUGGUCGCCGGAAAAUUCACUUUCCCGGUUGUGACACGUCAAAAUCCGGUGACUUAGAGGUCUCCUAGCCAUUACUCCGACCAUUAUUCCCUCUAAAUUCUUUAAUACGAUAAAUUAAAAAA
Molecule: unclassified non-coding RNA, 1122 nt
Filed under: Hevea brasiliensis (rubber tree)
Lineage: Eukaryota; Viridiplantae; Streptophyta; Magnoliopsida; Malpighiales; Euphorbiaceae
Source: RNAcentral